Molecule: ribosomal RNA, 389 nt
Filed under: uncultured bacterium
Lineage: Bacteria
Description: bacterial SSU rRNA
Rfam family: Bacterial small subunit ribosomal RNA
Source: RNAcentral
AGUGAACGCUGGCGGCAGGCCUAAUACAUGCAAGUCGAACGGCAGCACAGCAGAGCUUGCUCUGUGGGUGGCGAGUGGCGGACGGGUGAGGAAUACAUGGGAAUCUGCCCAGUCGUGGGGGAUAACGUAGGGAAACUUACGCUAAUACCGCAUGCGCCCUUCGGGGAAGCCGGGGACCUUCGGCCUGGCGCGAUUGGAUGAGCCCAUGUCGGAUUAGCUAGUUGGCGGGGUAAUGGCCCACCAAGGCGACGAUCCGUAGCUGGUCUGAGAGGAUGAUCAGCCACACUGGAACUGAGACACGGUCCAGACUCCUACGGGAGGCAGCAUAGGGAAUAUUGGACAAUGGGCGCAAGCCUGAUCCAGACCAUAGCCGCCGUGAGUGAAGAAGG